UACGUAGGUGGCGAGCGUUGUCCGGAAUAACUGGGCGUAAAGGGAGCGUAGGUGGUUGAUUAAGUUAAAUGUGAAAGCCCAGGGCUCAACUCUGGAAUUGCAUUUAAUACUGGUCGGCUAGAGUACAGGAGGGGUAAACGGAAUUUCUAGUGUAGCGGUGAAAUGCGUAGAUAUUAGGAAGAACACCGGAGGCGAAGGCGGUUUACUGGACUGCAACUGACACUGAGGCUCGAAAGCGUGGGGAGCAAACAGG
RNAcentral lists this ribosomal RNA (253 nucleotides) under uncultured bacterium. RNAcentral's name for it is "partial 16S ribosomal RNA". It matches the Rfam family "Bacterial small subunit ribosomal RNA", at positions 524 to 776 of the family's 1533-position model. The record is from RNAcentral.